This 97-nucleotide transfer RNA is filed under the name Deltaproteobacteria bacterium. Its description in RNAcentral is "tRNA-Sec". It matches the Rfam family "Selenocysteine transfer RNA". The record is from RNAcentral. Lineage: Bacteria; Pseudomonadati; Myxococcota; Myxococcia.
GGAGGGGUAAAGGGUCCGGUGGCCCUGCUGGUCUUCAAAACCGGUUGGCCGUCGCUUUGCGAGGGCUGGAGGGUUCGACUCCCUCACCCUUCCGCCA